Molecule: ribosomal RNA, 207 nt
Filed under: uncultured bacterium
Lineage: Bacteria
Description: partial 16S ribosomal RNA
Rfam family: Bacterial small subunit ribosomal RNA
Source: RNAcentral
CGCGUAGGUGGCCGAUUAAGUCGGGGGUGAAAGCCUGUGGCUCAACCACAGAAUUGCCUUCGAUACUGGUUGGCUUGAGACCGGAAGAGGACAGCGGAACUGCGAGUGUAGAGGUGAAAUUCGUAGAUAUUCGCAAGAACACCAGUGGCGAAGGCGGCUGUCUGGUCCGGUUCUGACGCUGAGGCGCGAAAGCGUGGGGAGCAAACA